RNAcentral lists this ribosomal RNA (432 nucleotides) under uncultured bacterium. Its description in RNAcentral is "partial 16S ribosomal RNA". It matches the Rfam family "Bacterial small subunit ribosomal RNA", at positions 29 to 506 of the family's 1533-position model. The record is from RNAcentral.
AACGAACGCUGGCGGCAUGCCUAACACAUGCAAGUCGAACGAGACCUUCGGGUCUAGUGGCGCACGGGUGCGUAACGCGUGGGAACCUGCCCUUAGGUUCGGAAUAACUCCCCGAAAGGGGUGCUAAUACCGGAUAAUGUCUUCGGACCAAAGAUUUAUCGCCUUUGGAUGGGCCCGCGUUGGAUUAGCUAGUUGGUAGGGUAAAAGCCUACCAAGGCGACGAUCCAUAGCUGGUCUGAGAGGAUGAUCAGCCACACUGGGACUGAGACACGGCCCAGACUCCUACGGGAGGCAGCAGUGGGGAAUAUUGGACAAUGGGCGAAAGCCUGAUCCAGCAAUGCCGCGGGAGUGAUGAAGGCCUUAGGGUUGUAAAGCUCUUUUACCCGGGAUGAUAAUGACAGUACCGGGAGAAUAAACUCCGGCUAACUCCGU